GCGCUCGUAGCUCAGUUGGAUAGAGCAAUGGUUUCCUAAACCAUAGGUCGCAGGUUCGAUCCCUGCCGGGCGCA
Molecule: transfer RNA, 74 nt
Filed under: Phycisphaeraceae bacterium
Lineage: Bacteria; Pseudomonadati; Planctomycetota; Phycisphaerae; Phycisphaerales; Phycisphaeraceae
Description: tRNA-Arg
Rfam family: tRNA
About the family: Transfer RNA (tRNA) molecules are approximately 80 nucleotides in length. Their secondary structure includes four short double-helical elements and three loops (D, anti-codon, and T loops).
Source: RNAcentral